UUUUGGUAAUGUCUCCGAGCUGGUAUAUCUAAGGCAGCGGCGCAAUCUGCUAGGAUGGCCAGCCGGAACGGUUUUCCGUUCCCGGGUGCGGGGAGAAAUCCCUGUGCCUUCCGCGAUUUGAAAAGGAGUGGUAAUGAUGAAAAA
Molecule: non-coding RNA, 144 nt
Filed under: Pseudoselenomonas ruminantium
Lineage: Bacteria; Bacillati; Bacillota; Negativicutes; Selenomonadales; Selenomonadaceae
Description: Selenomonas ruminantium MoCo sequence
Rfam family: Molybdenum/Tungsten riboswitch aptamer (Moco RNA motif)
Source: RNAcentral